RNA transcript from Hypanus sabinus (Atlantic stingray), 4350 nucleotides. RefSeq lists it as uncharacterized. The record is from RefSeq and is a predicted model, not a curated record. Lineage: Eukaryota; Metazoa; Chordata; Chondrichthyes; Myliobatiformes; Dasyatidae. The transcript is spliced from 4 exons.
GUAAUUCUUUAAAAUGUAAUAAAUUUUAAAAAAUACUAUAUUCUGCCAUCAUAUUUGACCUACCAAAAUGAACCACUUCACACUUAUCUGGGUUGAACUCCAUCUGCCACUUCUCAGCCCAAUUUUGCAUCCUAUCAAUGUCCCACUGUAACCUCUGACAGCCUCUCCACACUACCCACAACACACCCAACCUUUGUGUCAUCAGCAAACUUCCUAACCCAACCCCCCACUUCCUCAUCCAGGUCAUUUAUAAAAAUCACGAAGAGUAAGGGUCCCAGAACAGAUCCUUGAGGCACUCCACUGGUCACCGGCCUCCAUGUAGAAUAUGACCCGUCUACAACCACUCUUUGCCUUCUAUGGGCAAGCCAGUUCUGGAUCCACAAAGCAAUGUCCCCUUGGAUCCCAUGCCUCCUUACUUUCUCAAUAAGCCUUACAUGGGGUACCUUAUCAAAUGCCUUGCUGAAAUCCAUAUACACAACAUCUCUUGCUCUUGCUUCAUCAAUGUGCAAGUCAUUAUUGUUGAUUUCUAUCUUAGGGGAAUUUGGCUGAGCUGGGAAUUUCCAAUGAAUGAUAAUAUAAAUAGAGGAGGCAGAACCUUCACAAUCAGUGAGUACUACUCCAGCAUGGAGAUCUUGCGGCUGGUGACAGCUCUCCUGCUUGUCGUGGGGACCACCGGAUCAGAACAUCUCAGCUGUCAGCACAACAGAAUCGAGCUCGAGGGCUUCUCACACCAGGGUGUGGAGCUCCUUUGCCUCUUCUCCUGGAAGGGCCACGAGCCUCUGGAGCACAUGGUGGUUUGGAAGGUGGCGCUGAACCACUCGAAGAAUAUCCUCUUGGUACACGGUCAGGAGAACCGAGCGGUGGAGCAGGACACUACGUUCAGGGGCAGGACUGAACUGCAGGCAGCUUGGUUCUCCAAAAGAAACGCCACCUUAAGACUCCAUGGACUGAGCCCGGAGGAGGAGGGAACAUACACUUGUCACAUCACCACGAUGAAUCCUUUCAACAUGGAGAUAUGCGCGGAGGUGGCCUUGACUGUACAGCCAGCGACACAGCCCUCGCAGUCCGAACACCUCCCUCAGCCUUUGUACGAAGUUGAUGGGAAUUCUCCACAAUGGCAGGACCAGAACCAGACAGCAGGAGUGAUGAGAAUGAGGACGGCUCCAGUCUGACAGUCGGGAAUUCAAAUCGAACGGAAAACUGGGAGGAGGAACUAAUGUUGCGGCCCAGACACAGCAGCGGAAUCAGGAACGGACCCCAUCUCCUCCUCAUCGUUUGCAUACCAGCCUCCCUGCUCCGAUUUGUCCACAGCCUCUGAACCUUCUCCGACUGGUCCUGUGAGCAGACGGUUUAGCUGAGGGAAGUCGACUGGACUACAAGACCCGGCGCUGAGGUCAGUGGGCGACUGAGAGGGCAGUGUGCCCACAGGGAAGCCCUCGGAAACAUGCCACACGAAGGCGUCCCAGAUUGCCAUGUGCCUCACCGGCGGCGUGUACCGAGUCCGAGGUGUUCCUGAGCAUCGGGGUCGGUGAAUCGUGGACCCGAACUCUAACUUCCCAUUUGGGAAGUUACUGGCUCGAGGACUCGCUCUUCCUCCCUCCCCAAGUUAACCCCAGGCUGGGGGACGGUGGUGGGACGUGAACCUAGAGCGUCAACCGGGGCACAGGGGGGCAGAAGCCAGAAUGAGAUCAGUGACCUUCAGGAUGUCAGGACAGGUCCCUUGGAAGGGCUAAGGCAGGGGUCGGCAACGUUUACCACUGAAAGAGCCAAUAUGGACCCAUUUCCCACAGAAAAGAAAACACUGGGAGCCACAAAACCCGUUUGACAUUUAAAAUGAAAUAACACUGCAUACAACAGUUUUUGCCUUUAUGCUAUGUAUAAACAAACUAUAAUGUGUUGCAUUUAUGGAAUUGAUGAACUCCUGCAGAGAAAACGAAAUUACAUUUCUGCAUGCAACAAAAACAUUUUGAACUCUGAAAAAAAGACGUUGGGUUGAAGGUUACUCCAUAGGUAGCCUACCUUGGAUCGAAGAAUUGAAAGAAAGUGCACACUGGCGGGUGUCAGGCAUUGGCAGUGGUGAUGUAUAUUAAUAGCGAUAAAAAAACACGUUGUAGCGGUGUAGCGCUACACGCAGCGCUAAAAUAAAGACACUGCAGUCAAAGGUAACUUUAUUCGAACUAAACAGCCUUGCUUUAAAGCCUCCCUCAACCCGUCCCCGUGGGCGCGGAUGCUCCAAAGGACACGUACUCACAAACCCCCGUAGGCUAUCUCCCUUAGCCGGAACGGUGGCUAAUUGUGAGCCGGUUCGGAUGUGCCAGGAAAUGGAGUCUCCACAAAGUUUUUAGAUUGUACAAGAUCACCAUAAUCUUCAAAUUUCGAAUUACAUUUCAAAAGCUAACAAACCACGGGGAGCCGCAUCACAGAGAUGAAAGAGUCGCAUGCGGCUCCGGAGCCGCAGGUUGCCAGCCUCUGAGCUAAGGUAAUCAGCAACCCAUUUGCUGUUCAUGCCGAACGAGACCUGGAUGAGAUCAGGCUGAAGCACCUUCUUGACCCUGUGCAGAUCUUUCAGUGGGGUCGCUGCCGAGGGGAGGGGUUGGCUUCCAGGAUUUAGACCCAGGGACAAUGAGAGGAGGCGGUACAGCCAGAUUCAGGCUCAGUUAUUACCCUUCAGCCAUCAGGCUCCCGGAAUCAGUGAGGAUAACUUCACUCAACACUACACACGACUGAUUCUACAACACUAUCAAGGACUCUUCACAGCUCGAGUUUUCUGUAUUUUCAUUUGCAGUUUGUCUAUUGAUUGUUGGUUGUUAGUCUAUAUACUUUGUAUAAAUUUGUACAGUAUUUAUUUAUUUGUGUAAAUACCUACAAGAAAAUGAAUCUCAAAGUAGUCGAUUAUUCUGCAAAAAUCUUGACACAUUUCUAUAAAGCCGGAGAGCCUAAGCAUUUUGCAUGAUACUGUAGUAAUGUAUUGCACUGUACCUCUACUGGGAAAAAAAGACAAAUUUCAAAAAAUAUGUGAGUGAUGAUAAACCCGGAUUCUGAUCUGGGCCUCUGUUGUGGACUGGGAGUGGGAAGGGGGCAGGGAGAGAGGAAUCAUGGUUGGGAAAGGGGGAAGGGGGGGGAAUGGGAAGCACCAGAGAGAUAUUCAGUAACGAUCAAUAAACCAAAAUUUAAAUUCAAAUGCCCGGUGUCUCAGGGCUGGGUGUGUCUGCACCCCCCCCCCCCCACACCGGCCCUGGCACUCCUACUCUGCCAGCUGUCUCCCAGUCCCUCCAACGGCACUCCACCAUCACCAUUCCCAACAUCCUCUGCUCCCGCAAACUCGUUCUCCGCUCCACAUUGACAAAUUAGAUUAGAUUAGAUUCAACUUUAUUGUCAUUGUACCGAGUACAGAUACAAAGCCAAUGAAAUACAUCUAAUCAGAAAUGCAAAGAAUAGUGUUAUUUACAAAAUAACUACGAAUAUCCGCAAAGGUAACAGCAUUAUGAAGGACCCCACGUACCCCUCAUACAAUCUCUUCUCCCUCCUGCCGUCUCGGAAAAGGCUCCGAAGCAUUCGGGCUCUCACGGCCAGACUAUGUAACAGUUUCUUCCCCCAAGCUAUCAGACUCCUCAAUACCCGAAGCCUGGACUGACACCUUGUCCUAUUGUCCUGUUUAUUAUUUAUUGUAAUGCCUGCACUGAUUUUGUGCACUUUAUGCAGUCCAGUGUAGGUCUGUAGUCUAGUGUAACUUUCUCUGUGUUGUUUUUUUAUGUAGUUCACUCUAGUUUUCAUACUGUGUCAUGUAACGCCAUGGUCCUGAAAAAAGUUGUCUCGUUUUUACUAUGUGCUGACCCAGCAGUUAUGGUCGAAAUGACAAUAAAAGUGACGACUUGAAUAAAAAGGAAGUGCUACAGCACACAAAUAUAAACAUACUGAGACAGUACAAUAUGGGUGCAAUACUGCUUGACGCUGUGAUGUGAGGUUCAGCAGGGUCACAGCCUCAGGGAAGAAGCUCUUCCUGAGCCUGGUGGUGUGGGAGCGGAGGCUCCUGUAGCGCCUACCGGAUGGGAGGAGAGUGAAAAGUCCAUGGUUAGGGUGAGCUGUAUCCUUGAUAAUGCCUUCGCCCUGCCCAGGCAGUGUUUAUGAUAGAUGUUCUCAAUGGUGGGCAAUUGGGUGCCAAUAAUCCGCUGGGCAGUUUUCACCACACGCUGGAGUGCUUUGCGGUCCGAUACAGGACAAUUCCCAUACCACACUGAGAUGCACUUGGUGAGUAUGCUGUCAAUGGUACAGCGGUAAAAGUCCGUCAGUAUCCUGGGACGGACGUGAGCUCUGGCAUACUCGUUGUACAUGUGUGUGCCUGAGAGAUUU